GCGAACGCUGGCGGCAUGGCUAAAGCAUGCAAGUCGAACGAUUAAAGCCCCUUCGGGGGUGUAUAAAGUGGCGAAAGGGCGAGGAAUACGUUCCCACGUACCCCAAGGUCGAGGAUAGCCCAGGGAAACCUGGAGUAAUACUCGAUGUGGUGCCUCGGCAUCAAAGGCUUCGGUCGCCUUGGGAGCGGGGAACGUCCUAUCAGGUUGUUGGUGAGGUAACGGCUCACCAAGCCGAAGACGGGUAGCGGGUGUGAGAGCACGACCCGCCGCAUCGGGACUGAGACACUGCCCGGACUCCUACGGGAGGCUGCAGCAACGAAUCUUCCGCAAUGCGCGAAAGCGUGACGGAGCAAUGCCGCGUGCAGGAUGAAGCCCUUCGGGGUGUAAACUGCUGUCAGGGUUUAGCAACACAAUGAGCAGACCCAAAGGAAGGGCCGGCUAACUUCGUG
Molecule: ribosomal RNA, 449 nt
Filed under: uncultured bacterium
Lineage: Bacteria
Description: bacterial SSU rRNA
Rfam family: Bacterial small subunit ribosomal RNA
Source: RNAcentral